RNAcentral lists this ribosomal RNA (652 nucleotides) under bacterium 4878K4-B8. RNAcentral describes it as "bacterial SSU rRNA". It matches the Rfam family "Bacterial small subunit ribosomal RNA", at positions 8 to 655 of the family's 1533-position model. The record is from RNAcentral.
AGAGUUUGAUCCUGGCUCAGAUUGAACGCUGGCGGCAGGCCUAACACAUGCAAGUCGAGCGGUAACAGAAGGUAGCUUGCUACUUUGCUGACGAGCGGCGGACGGGUGAGUAAUGCUUGGGAACAUGCCUUGAGGUGGGGGACAACAGUUGGAAACGACUGCUAAUACCGCAUAAUGUCUACGGACCAAAGGGGGCUUCGGCUCUCGCCUUUAGAUUGGCCCAAGUGGGAUUAGCUAGUUGGUGAGGUAAUGGCUCACCAAGGCGACGAUCCCUAGCUGGUUUGAGAGGAUGAUCAGCCACACUGGGACUGAGACACGGCCCAGACUCCUACGGGAGGCAGCAGUGGGGAAUAUUGCACAAUGGGCGCAAGCCUGAUGCAGCCAUGCCGCGUGUGUGAAGAAGGCCUUCGGGUUGUAAAGCACUUUCAGUCAGGAGGAAAGGUUAGUAGUUAAUACCUGCUAGCUGUGACGUUACUGACAGAAGAAGCACCGGCUAACUCCGUGCCAGCAGCCGCGGUAAUACGGAGGGUGCGAGCGUUAAUCGGAAUUACUGGGCGUAAAGCGUACGCAGGCGGUUUGUUAAGCGAGAUGUGAAAGCCCCGGGCUCAACCUGGGAACUGCAUUUCGAACUGGCAAACUAGAGUGUGAUAGA